UGGGGAAUAUUGCACAAUGGGCGAAAGCCUGAUGCAGCAACGCCGCGUGAGUGAUGAAGGCCUUCGGGUUGUAAAGCUCUGACUUCUGGGACGAUAAUGACGGUACCAGAGGAGGAAGCCACGGCUAACUACGUGCCAGCAGCCGCGGUAAUACGUAGGUGGCAAGCGUUGUCCGGAUUUACUGGGCGUAAAGGAUGCGUAGGCGGAUACUUAAGUCAGAUGUGAAAAUCCCGGGCUUAACUUGGGAACUGCAUUUGAAACUGGGUAUCUAGAGUGCGGGAGAGGACAGUGGAAUUCCUAGUGUAGCGGUGAAAUGCGUAGAGAUUAGGAAGAACACCAGUGGCGAAGGCGACUUUCUGGACCGUAACUGACGCUGAGGCAUGAAAGCGUGGGGAGCAAACA
RNAcentral lists this ribosomal RNA (402 nucleotides) under uncultured bacterium. Its description in RNAcentral is "bacterial SSU rRNA". It matches the Rfam family "Bacterial small subunit ribosomal RNA", at positions 355 to 774 of the family's 1533-position model. The record is from RNAcentral.